Molecule: non-coding RNA, 3720 nt
Organism: Lactuca sativa (garden lettuce)
Lineage: Eukaryota; Viridiplantae; Streptophyta; Magnoliopsida; Asterales; Asteraceae
Source: RefSeq, a predicted model, not a curated record
GCCACCGAAGUUUAUCUCAUCAUAAAAAAGCCCCAGUUCUUCUCUUCUUGCCUUUCCUUCUUAUCCGUUUCAGUCGCCGCUUGCCCCCUCCUCGUCCAAUAAAAAUUCGUCCGCUUUUCUUCAUUUCCUCUUUCUUUCUGCUUACUUCCCUCUCCACCUUCUCUUUCGCAAACACAUACAAUUCCUAAAAUCAGAAAGUACGAAUCUACAAAAAACUCUUUAUGCUUAUGAAAUCAGAUCAAGGAAACCUACCAGAUGAGUCCAGUUGCAAAGCUCGAAUGUCCUCAUCGAUAUUAUCUACGAUUGAAAGAAAGGUAAAAAGUUCAGUAUUCUGCAUAAAUUUUAUAAAUAUUUAGGGAUUAACAGACACAAUACAAAAAGAAAAUCCGAUUACUGAACUACAGAUUCCCCCCACCGUCUUUCUCAUCUCCGGUCUCUAUCUACUCCUCCGACUUCCUCCCCCGCCUAAAAGGGACCGCUUCCAUCGCCACCAAUCCCUCUACUUGAAGGGGUUUAUACUCAGAUCAGGGAGGAAAUCAUUGUUGAGAAAGAAGCUUUCGAGACUCUCAUACGUAUUAUUGUUCAUUGCUGCCUCCACUGCUCGCCAUGGAGAUUCUCUCUUCAGCUUCCGUUGAUUCCUUCUCUUCAAUAACACAUGCUCGCCGUCGACUUCCAGAAGCCUUUUUGUUGAUCAUCUGCUUUGAAGCUUCAAUUUGGAGAUGCUGCCACGUCCGAUUCGUUUGCUCUCCACCAGUUUGUUGAUUACAAUUUUGGUGUUAAUCGACUCAAGUAUGGAUGGUUUUCUAGAAAACAGACAGCGAUGGAUGGGGGUAUCUUUUUUUUUGGUGAAGACUGAAUAACCCUAGAACAGUAAAACUUUUAUUUGAUUUCAUUCUUGUAGAAGAUUCUUUUAGAUCAUCACAACUGGCAUAUGUUUUUAUUCUUCUUUUUUUCAACCAACCAUCGUCACAAAGCGGGACCUGACUUACCUAUAAACUCUCAACCUGUGUGUCAUGUUAGAGUUUUUCAAGCAGAUGUGGAAAGAAUCUAAUGUUUUUGAUUUGUAACCUGUUUCUGUAUGGAAUGUCAACUUAUUUGUUAAAUUUCUGUUGAUGAACUGAACUGACCUAAAAUCUAUAAUACUAUAUCCUUUUUUGCCUCCACAAGACCACCAAUUGACCCUUUAAUGGCACAAGCAGUUUUAUCACCUCCUAAUCCAAGAAAGCCCUCGGGUCCCACAAAAUUAAAGGAAACUUUCAGAAUGAGAAGUGGGGCAGCUGGUGGGACCCGUAGGUGUAUGGUUCAAGAUGAUAGUGUUCAUGAUGAUGAGGUUGAUGUUUCAAUUCCAGGGGCAAAAAAGGGAAGAAAGUGGAGUAAAGCUGUUAGGAAAGCAGCUAGGAUGCAGGUAGCUCGGGAAGCCGAACCGGUCAAAGUAGAACUAAUGGAAGUUGGUGAAGAAGGUAUGCUGAUUGAUGAGCUGGCGUAUAAUUUAGUUGUGAGUGAAGGUGAAAUACUAGGGCAUCUUUAUGCAAAGGGUAUUAAGCCUGAUGGGGUGCAGAAGCUUGAUAAGGAAAUGGUGAAGAUGGUUUGUAGGGAGUAUGAGGUGGAAGUUAUUGAUGUGGGUCCCAUUAAAAUAUCAGAACAAGCUAAAAAGAAAGAAUUUUUUUUAUGAAAAAGACUUGGAUCAUUUACAAGAUAGACCCCCUGUUCUCAUAGUCAUGGGUCAUGUUGAUCAUGAAAAGACAACCCUUUUGGAAUUUAUCCGGAAAACCAAGGUACAAUUUCAUCAAUAUUAUUUCUUUAUGAUUAAAGAACGAAAAAGAUAGUCUUUGUAACAUGAAAUGUAGAUAAAGAUUGGAUCUUUAUGAUUAAAGAAUGAAAAAGAUAGUCUUUAUAACAUGUUCUUUUCCAGUUUUGGUUUUAGAGUUGACUAGGACCAAUGAACUGGAUGCUGAUUACAAAUAUCUGUUCUUUCACCUCUAAAAUCCAAUAACCUGUCUGUGUGAAGGGUUUCCGCCACUGUGCACUAAGUAUUGGUGUUGUGUAGAAAAGGGUAUUUAUGUAAUUCGGAUAUACUAAUUACUUACCUGAAACACUUUGUACCCUUUAUCUGGGAUCUGCCACUUCCACAGAAGAGGCUCCAAGCUAAUGAAAAUAAAAAUUUGAUUAAAAUAUGCAUAUAGGGGUAAAAUGGUAAAAACAUACUUGCACACAAACCUGAGCCAUAGGACUACCAUUAUCAGUAUUUAUAAGCAUCCUUGAAUUUGUGUCCACCGCAAAAAGAUUAGCACGGUUUUCAUCAUGGAAAAACUUCGGCUUUGCACUGCAUAAAAAAUAAAAAAAUAAAAUAUAUAUAUUUUUUCUUUAAAUACGUUUCAUAAACAUAUAUAUAUAUAUAUAUAUAUAUAUAUAUAUAUAUAUAUAUAUAUAUAUAUACACACACACACACACAAUCUUUAAAGUAAAGAAAUGAGUAUAACCUGCGAGUUAUGACAACAUCAAAGUGUUGGAGCCAGUCAAGAGUCACCAAGGAGCUGACUGGGGUGUCUCGACUUAGAUGCUUAUUAUCGCUGACCUGGCAAAGAAAUCAAAGUAACCGUUGACGAAUUUCCUUAUAACCUAAAGUAAUUAAUUUAUUGAUUUGCCUAUCUGAUUUUCUUUCAAUUCAAUGGAGUUGAUGUCAAUCGAUUGUUGAGAGUAUGAUGAAAACGUGGGAUUUUGAAUAGUUUUUUAUUUAUUUGAUUAUUUGUUUUUUUAUAUAUACAUGCUUGCUUCCAUAUAUAGAUGCACUUUUGAAUGCUAUUUGUUAUACAUCUUUUCCUUUCUGCACCGUUUAUUUGUGUUAGUAAUGCAGGUCUGUAUACCCUUGAUGAUUAUUGAAGGCCCUGUUGCUGUAAGUUUUAUUUUCUGGGUUGAAGGGUAUUUUUGGAAACAUUUAGACAAAAAGAUCGAAUCUUUGAAAAUUUUAUUUGUAUUGUUGCUAUUUCUGGUGGUUCAACUUUUGGAACCCCUUUUGUGAGUCUUAUAAAUUUUGCUUCUUUACUCAUUACAGAUGCUGCAAGCCAUUGUUUUGUUGCUGGAAAAAAAUAAACUUCUUCUUGAGUUUGGACUUUGUCAGGCACAGGUUGUAAACAUUUUUUUGUUUUUUUUAAUUAUUAACAGAUUUCAUGUGCUAUAAUUUAUUUAAAAAAUAAAAUUUUUUGUUUAAUUCAUUUGUAUUGCUCGAUGGUGGUGUACUUUUUUAUUUGCAAAAUCUUGGAUAUAAAAAGCAAUAUAUAAGCUUCAUGGAUAGCAUAACAAUGGAAUUUUGGAUUGUUGUAUCUAAUCAUACCCACUACAAAAUCAUAACACAGACAGCUGUUCUUGCAAUGCCAAAAAAUGGGAUUUGAUUGUUCCCAGAUGUGUGGUUUGCUUAUAUAGAAGCUAAGACUCCAACAUACUUUUUUUCUACCAGAUGACUAUUUUUGCAACGACAAAAAAUGAAAUUGGUUGGCUUCUAGAUGUCAGGUUUGCUUAUGUAGCAGCUAAGGCUUCACGAGAUGGAUUAUGUACAUAUACACGUUGAAAGAACGAAAAAAAAAUUGAAUCAGCGCCAACGGGCGCGCAUGAUUCCAUCUAGUUUAAUUAGUUCAUUUUGAUCACUUAGUUAAUUAUAAAUUAAUUUCUUGAUCAAUACUAAUUAAAUACUAUGAUUAUAUUAAUAUAUUAGAACUUAUAUUA